GCAGGCCUAACACAUGCAAGUCGAGCGGUAGAGAGAAGCUUGCUUCUCUUGAGAGCGGCGGACGGGUGAGUAAUGCCUAGGAAUCUGCCUGGUAGUGGGGGAUAACGUUCGGAAACGGACGCUAAUACCGCAUACGUCCUACGGGAGAAAGCAGGGGACCUUCGGGCCUUGCGCUAUCAGAUGAGCCUAGGUCGGAUUAGCUAGUUGGUGAGGUAAUGGCUCACCAAGGCGACGAUCCGUAACUGGUCUGAGAGGAUGAUCAGUCACACUGGAACUGAGACACGGUCCAGACUCCUACGGGAGGCAGCAGUGGGGAAUAUUGGACAAUGGGCGAAAGCCUGAUCCAGCCAUGCCGCGUGUGUGAAGAAGGUCUUCGGAUUGUAAAGCACUUUAAGUUGGGAGGAAGGGCAGUUACCUAAUACGUGAUUGUUUUGACGUUACCGACAGAAUAAGCACCGGCUAACUCUGUGCCAGCAGCCGCGGUAAUACAGAGGGUGCAAGCGUUAAUCGGAAUUACUGGGCGUAAAGCGCGCGUAGGUGGUUAGUUAAGUUGGAUGUGAAAUCCCCGGGCUCAACCUGGGAACUGCAUUCAAAACUGACUGACUAGAGUAUGGUAGAGGGUGGUGGAAUUUCCUGUGUAGCGGUGAAAUGCGUAGAUAUAGGAAGGAACACCAGUGGCGAAGG
RNAcentral lists this ribosomal RNA (684 nucleotides) under Pseudomonas sp. Its description in RNAcentral is "bacterial SSU rRNA". It matches the Rfam family "Bacterial small subunit ribosomal RNA", at positions 42 to 721 of the family's 1533-position model. Lineage: Bacteria; Pseudomonadati; Pseudomonadota; Gammaproteobacteria; Pseudomonadales; Pseudomonadaceae. The record is from RNAcentral.